GGUGUUUUUUGAGUGACACACCCCAGAAUCAGGCUCCCUCCUCUCUGGUUCUGGUGUGUCACCCGAGAACUGCA
Myotis brandtii (Brandt's bat) is the source of this 74-nucleotide non-coding RNA. Lineage: Eukaryota; Metazoa; Chordata; Mammalia; Chiroptera; Vespertilionidae. The record is from Rfam.